CGCCUGGCCAUUUCACCAACCCAUUUACGGACCACAGGCUCCAGCCUUAGUCGCACCCAACAACGAUGUGGGCUCGGACGGUAUGGUCAUGAACUUGGCUAGCUUAUUGGCUGGGACAGUAACGAACCCUUUUGGAAAUGGUUACUAUCAGGGACCAGCUGAUGCACCAUUAGAAGCUGCGUCAGCUUGCACUGGGGUUUAUGGAAGUGGGGCCUACCCUGGCUAUGCUGGCAAUCUUUUGGUGGACCCUACUACUGGUGCUAGCUACAAUGCGCAUGGUGCUAAUGGGAGGAAGUUCUUGCUCCCUGCAUUAUUCGACCCUUCUACGUCUUCAUGUUCUACGUUGGUUUAAGAAGAUCAUUUCUUAAUCAAUUAGCAAGCUACUUACAAAGAGAGUUGUAUUAGGGAAAUCUAGAUAAUAGGAUAUUCUUUUAUUCAAAUUCAUUCUUUUGUCUCGAUUGAUUAAUAAAAUUCCUGAAAUUAUUCUUACAUGUUUUUCUAUUAUUUUAUAUAGCACAGUGGUAUUAUUGGUUACACUUUGUGUCAUUUUACUUUCAAUUUUUGACAAGAUGAAGACCUUAUUAUCCUUGUAAAAAAAAAGAAUUUUGUUAUAAGAAGGAAUAUAGUUGAAUGGGCGGUACUGUUCUAAUUUUGUCCAAUUUAUUA
This 666-nucleotide long non-coding RNA is filed under the name Nicotiana tabacum (common tobacco). RNAcentral describes it as "long non-coding RNA (NTAB_LNC008478)". The record is from RNAcentral. Lineage: Eukaryota; Viridiplantae; Streptophyta; Magnoliopsida; Solanales; Solanaceae.